RNAcentral lists this ribosomal RNA (443 nucleotides) under uncultured bacterium. RNAcentral's name for it is "SSU rRNA". It matches the Rfam family "Bacterial small subunit ribosomal RNA", at positions 26 to 518 of the family's 1533-position model. The record is from RNAcentral.
AGAGCGAACGCUGGCGGCAGGCCUAACACAUGCAAGUCGAGCGCCCCGCAAGGGGAGCGGCAGACGGGAGAGUAACACGUGGGAACGUACCCUUCAGUUCGGAACAACCCAGGGAAACUUGGGCUAAUACCGGAUACGUCCGUAAGGAGAAAGAUUUAUCGCUGAAGGAUCGGCCCGCGUCUGAUUAGCUUGUUGGUGAGGUAACGGCUCACCAAGGCUACGAUCAGUAGCUGGUCUGAGAGGAUGAUCAGCCUCACUGGGACUGAGACACGGCCCAGACUCCUACGGGAGGCAGCAGUGGGGAAUAUUGGACAAUGGGCACAAGCCUGAUCCAGCCAUGCCGCGUGGAUGAUGAAGGCCUUAGGGUUGUAAAAUCCUUUCGACGGGGAAGAUAAUGACGGUACCCGUAGAAGAAGCCCGGCUAACUUCGCGCCAGCAGCCGC